RNAcentral lists this long non-coding RNA (1435 nucleotides) under Fragaria vesca (wild strawberry). RNAcentral describes it as "long non-coding RNA (FVES_LNC001348)". Lineage: Eukaryota; Viridiplantae; Streptophyta; Magnoliopsida; Rosales; Rosaceae. The record is from RNAcentral.
UCGUUUUUCCAACUCAAACAUGCGGUAGCCAGAAACUCCAACCUAGGAUGACAUAUAUAAAAAUUAGUUCAUAGAGAUUAGGUAGAGUAAUGAUAACAACUUAUUGAAGUAAAUCUUCUGAUACUUGGAAGUUGGAAUUGAUACCAAUACCAACAUGUACAUAUGAAUCAUCUAACCUGGUCUUCGGAAAUCCUGGACAUGUCAUUUUGGUCUCAAGUCCUGGACAUGUACGUAUGGAUGCAUUUUGCAAGGGAAAUAAGUUAUGUUCCAACCCAAACUUCAAUUCCUCUUUAUUGCCAUUCCCCACAACAACCAUUUCAACACCUAAGGCACCAAACUAUUAGUAGCCAAUCUCUAACCCCAAUUGUAAUCAAAAUCGAACAUGCUCUAAGCCUUACCAUGAUUAAUUCCUUGCAUGACCAAAUCAGCAGCUCUCUUCCUCUCCAAAACUUGUUGUUGUAGAUCCCCAAAUCUCAUGCAUAUGCCCCAAAAUCGACGAAGACACAGUACUCCACACCUCACAGAUACCAAAACAGCUGAUAAUCCAGUUCAGUACAGAGGCUUCGACUAAGAAAAGGAAGACGGGGUUACCUAUCAAAUACUGAGAGCGGCGGAGCUAGGGUGGAGCCAUGGCGGCUCUAAUCGGAACUAGAGAUCUGGACCGGCCUCGCCUCGCCGUGCACAGUUAUAAAAGAGAGAAGAGAGAUUGAAUCAUUUGAGAGAUUGAAUCGAUUUGAGAGAAGAGUGAGAAAGCUAAGUGAGCGACAGAGUUGAGAGAGAGGGCGAGAGUCUCGAUCUGUUUGAGAGUGAGAGUUGAGAGUCGAUCUGUUUGGUGGGUUUAGGGUGAAUGAAUGCGAGGGAGAGAGAGACAUCGAUAUGAAUGCGAGAGAGUGAGAGUGUGAGACUAGCGUUUAGGGUUGGUGGGUAUGUUAUUAAAUUUGUCUAACUUUUUCACACAACAGAAUAUAUACUCGGAGGGAAACUUUGGAGCCAAAACUAUUUUGACAUAGCACACCAAAUCGAUAGAGGCAAACUUUGGAGCCAAAACGACUUUGGCAUGCCACCAGAUUUUCCAGUCACAUAACAAAAUGUUUUAAACUGUUGUAUAUAUUUUCUAAACUUGCACUAGGUAUUGCCUAGUAUAAAUUGUAACAACAUCAUACAACAAAAAAAUAAAAGUCUAUUGUCCAAACAUUUUGCAUCUUGCACGACUUUCAAUUUGGUGAUGGGGGAAUCCUUCCGUCAAAAUUUUCAUAAACCAUACAACAUAAAAUUAGCAUCAUUGUUGUGUUUUGAACUCUUGAAAUAUAACCUGACAAUUUUGUGUCAUCAAACAACAAAACUUUGUAACUUUACGUUAUAUAUAACAGUUCACUUCAUCAGACAAGUAAGGAAGCCUAAAAGAUUGUCUGAUGAGUGUUGUCUGAUAACGUUU